GCUAAGUGCAAGUGACGCUCCCCCUCCUCCUCCUCCUGCCGGUUGGGGACGCGAUCUGCUCGGAGAUGUUCCAUGAGGGGAUGGGGCGGAGCUUCGAGGGACAGGCGGAAGUGAAGCUCAAACUAGGAGGUGGGGCUCUAGACUAGGCUAAGUAUUUAGGACACAAUCAUAAGGGGUAGUUAGACCCAGUUAGCUCCCGAAGACGCCACCGAUUAAAGCCCUCCAUCUUCUCCCUCCUCCUCGGUACUUGCCACCAUCGUUCGUUUGCGACUAUAUGUCGAAGCACCGGUUCCCGAGGCACCACGACCGGCUCGUGUGCCGGAAGAGGCCGUUGAAGUCGUGGUAGCGGCACGUCACGGAGGUCUUCGACGGGAGGUUGUCGUGGUCCAGGUGGAUGAGGACGCUACCGGUGUGGAAGUUGAAGGAGCAACUGGCACCAAAACACAAAGAACACCACCGGCUUCUCCGCAACCCUUCCUCGCACGGCAAACACAAGGAUCUCUCCCAAUCCCUUCUGAAGUACGUCUCCAUACCCAGGUCAUAGCUACUCCUCCCUGUUGUGGGCGAACGACUACUACGCCUACUCCUGCUAAAGGACAAACUCCUGGCCAAAUCGUAGCGGAUGUUAGAACUGGCCCUUAAGCCCGGUUCCAACUUCCUAGUGUACGUCAUAACAUAAUUAGUAGGUCUCCUUUAAUCGUUCGAGAGAUUCCACUUUAGUGUAGAAAGUCUCCAAUUUCCCUAGUACUACCUGUUGUAGCUCUUCUAUAAUCUAGCACCGCUCUUCUAACUUGAAAACCACCCGUUCUGGCUUUGGAAUGUCAGCGUCCGGCUGUCGAAGGUAUCCGUACCGUCUCUCGAGUCCGCGUUCUACACCGAAGUCUUGGACUCCAAAUUCGACUACCAGACACCACCGUAGCGUAAAAACUAGGAGUAGGAGACCGAUUACCAAACGUCCCCGAAGUUCACGAUCUCUCAAGUCUCAGAAGUAAACGGGAAAAAAGGAACAGUAAACUACAAGACAAAUGGCACAGUACACGUAUAUUACUGGUGGUUUAAUACGAAAGCGAUACAAGGCUUGUGUCAAUACACCACACUCUGGGAAUUAAGGAGUAUCUGGUAGGAAUACAAGGUAUUCUGGUAUCCCUAGACCUCAUGAACACAUUCGAAAUACUCUCUCCCCCUGCAGUGAGCUAAUAUACAUGUAAGACUUUAUGUUCGAAUAACGGACCUGGAACGAAACGAGUCUAGGAGAACUGCUGCUAGGUACAACGUGGAUCGCGGUUUCUAUAUAGUGCCACCACAUAAACCCUAAAGAAUAAAUAUAAUACUCAUAUUGAACCUCUUCAGCUCGCGGAUAGUCGUUAAAAGACGUCCUAUGGAGGCCAGUAUACGUACGACAGAUGGAUGGUAUAGAGAUCCUUAUGAUUACCGUAACGGGUAUCAACACGAGUAGUCCAAGAGUUAAGUUCUUGUCUUGGACAAAAGAUGACAUGAAUAAUAUGAGUACCGUUGUCAAGAACGGGGAAAGACGUUAGAGGAGCGGAAAGUCGACGUCCUAAAACAUUAAGUACGACAUAAGACGAAUACUCAACUUACUUUG
RNAcentral lists this ribosomal RNA (1603 nucleotides) under Triticum aestivum (bread wheat). Its description in RNAcentral is "partial small subunit ribosomal RNA". The record is from RNAcentral. Lineage: Eukaryota; Viridiplantae; Streptophyta; Magnoliopsida; Poales; Poaceae.